This 1186-nucleotide ribosomal RNA is filed under the name Salmonella enterica subsp. enterica serovar Muenchen. RNAcentral describes it as "partial 23S ribosomal RNA". It matches the Rfam family "Bacterial large subunit ribosomal RNA", at positions 1 to 1219 of the family's 2925-position model. RNAcentral also lists the same sequence under 1 other name. Lineage: Bacteria; Pseudomonadati; Pseudomonadota; Gammaproteobacteria; Enterobacterales; Enterobacteriaceae. The record is from RNAcentral.
GGGUUGUGAGGUUAAGCGACUAAGCGUACACGGUGGAUGCCCUGGCAGUCAGAGGCGAUGAAGGGCGUGCUAAUCUGCGAUAAGCGCCGGUAAGGUGAUAUGAACCGUUAUAACCGGCGAUACCCGAAUGGGGAAACCCAGUGUGAUUCGUCACACUAUCAUUAACUGAAUCCAUAGGUUAAUGAGGCGAACCGGGGGAACUGAAACAUCUAAGUACCCCGAGGAAAAGAAAUCAACCGAGAUUCCCCCAGUAGCGGCGAGCGAACGGGGAGGAGCCCAGAGCCUGAAUCAGCAUGUGUGUUAGUGGAAGCGUCUGGAAAGGCGCGCGAUACAGGGUGACAGCCCCGUACACAAAAGCGUAUGUGCUGUGAGCUCGAUGAGUAGGGCGGGACACGUGGUAUCCUGUCUGAAUAUGGGGGGACCAUCCUCCAAGGCUAAAUACUCCUGACUGACCGAUAGUGAACCAGUACCGUGAGGGAAAGGCGAAAAGAACCCCGGCGAGGGGAGUGAAAAAGAACCUGAAACCGUGUACGUACAAGCAGUGGGAGCACCCUUUGGGGUGUGACUGCGUACCUUUUGUAUAAUGGGUCAGCGACUUAUAUUCUGUAGCAAGGUUAACCGAAUAGGGGAGCCGGAGGGAAACCGAGUCUUAAUUGGGCGUUAAGUUGCAGGGUAUAGACCCGAAACCCGGUGAUCUAGCCAUGGGCAGGUUGAAGGUUGGGUAACACUAACUGGAGGACCGAACCGACUAAUGUUGAAAAAUUAGCGGAUGACCUGUGGCUGGGGGUGAAAGGCCAAUCAAACCGGGAGAUAGCUGGUUCUCCCCGAAAGCUAUUUAGGUAGCGCCUCGUGAAUUCAUCUCCGGGGGUAGAGCACUGUUUCGGCUAGGGGGUCAUCCCGACUUACCAACCCGAUGCAAACUGCGAAUACCGGAGAAUGUUAUCACGGGAGACACACGGCGGGUGCUAACGUCCGUCGUGAAGAGGGAAACAACCCAGACCGCCAGCUAAGGUCCCAAAGUCAUGGUUAAGUGGGAAACGAUGUGGGAAGGCCCAGACAGCCAGGAUGUUGGCUUAGAAGCAGCCAUCAUUUAAAGAAAGCGUAAUAGCUCACUGGUCGAGUCGGCCUGCGCGGAAGAUGUAACGGGGCUAAACCAUGCACCGAAGCUGCGGCAGCGACACUCAGG